Molecule: long non-coding RNA, 655 nt
Organism: Passer domesticus (house sparrow)
Lineage: Eukaryota; Metazoa; Chordata; Aves; Passeriformes; Passeridae
Exons: 4
Source: RefSeq, a predicted model, not a curated record
GAACUGCAUUCAACAAGGAUUGCACAUCUAUAUCUGUGGGAGACAUUAAGUAUAGAAGGUGUGGAAAAAAGAUUACUCAGGUAGAUCUGCUGAUACCACUGCUCUGCUAGCUUAUGGAUGACAGUAUGUAUUUCAACAUCUUUUGGGAGAAGGAAGGGGAAGAGCUCUGAAGGUAGCUUGCUGCAUAUGCAAUAAUAUAUGCAACUCAUGACCCUGGCCAAGUCAAAAUUGAAAUGUCAGUGAAACAAAAAAAUCUAUGUUUCAACACUGAUGAUGAGAAUCUCCUUUCUCCAGUUGAAAUAGAAUGGACUGGAUGACUGGAUUCUACUAAUUCUGUAAUAUUACAUCUGAAACUCUUCUGCAUCCUGAAGGUUAAUCAGUCUUAUUUGAAAAUUCCAUUACCUUCUGUGAAAAUUUUCCUUUCAUUAUGAAACCAAAUGAAACAAAGUGAUGCAGACUGAGGUUUUAUUCACUCAAACUGGAAUGAGAAGAGAAAAAACAGAGGUGAACUGAACUGCAAGAAAAUUCACAGUGGACAUAUGCAUAAAACUUGCAUAGAAAUAAAGGAAACAAGGCCUUGAAAAAGAUUUAAGACAAAUCUUGUCAAACUGGACUGAUCUUUAUAAUAAAUACACUCAGCCUUGUGAUCUAAUAA